AUUCCAGCUCCAAUAGCGUAUAUUAAAGUUGUUGCAGUUAAAAAGCUCGUAGUUGGAUUUCUGGCAGGAGCGACCGGUCCGCCGCAAGGUGUGCACUAGGUUGUCUCCAGUCAUCUUUGUGGGAACUGCUCUGGCAUUAGGUUGUCGGGGUUAGGGAACACAUCGUUUACUGUGAAAAAAUUAGAGUGUUUAAAGCAGGCUUAUGCCGUUGAAUACAUUAGCAUGGAAUAAUAAGAUAGGACUUUGGCGUCUAUUUUGUUGGUUUGCACACCAAGGUAAUGAUUAAUAGGGAUAGUUGGGGGUAUUCGUAUUUAAUUGUCAGAGGUGAAAUUCUUGGAUUUAUGAAAGACGAACUUCUGCGAAAGCAUUUACCAAAGAUGUUUUCAUUG
Molecule: ribosomal RNA, 389 nt
Filed under: Stramenopiles sp. MAST-1C
Lineage: Eukaryota
Description: partial small subunit ribosomal RNA
Rfam family: Eukaryotic small subunit ribosomal RNA
Source: RNAcentral